GCGAGGCAUGGUGGUGCAUGCCUGUAGUCCCAGCUACUCCGGGGGGCUGAGGUGGGAGGAUCACUUGAGCCCAGGGCGGCCAAGGCUGCAGUGAGCUAAGAUCACACCACUGCGCCCUGGCCUGGGCGACAGAGUGGGACCCUGUCUCAA
RNAcentral lists this small RNA (150 nucleotides) under Callithrix jacchus (white-tufted-ear marmoset). RNAcentral's name for it is "Metazoan signal recognition particle RNA (ENSCJAG00000064165.2)". The record is from Rfam by way of RNAcentral. Lineage: Eukaryota; Metazoa; Chordata; Mammalia; Primates; Cebidae.